Molecule: ribosomal RNA, 465 nt
Filed under: uncultured bacterium
Lineage: Bacteria
Description: bacterial SSU rRNA
Rfam family: Bacterial small subunit ribosomal RNA
Source: RNAcentral
CCUACGGGAUGCAGCAGUGGGGAAUAUUGCACAAUGGGCGCAAGCCUGAUACAGCCAUGCCGCGUGUAUGAAGAAGGCCUUCGGGUUGUAAAGUACUUUCAGCGGGGAGGAAGGUGUUGAGGUUAGUAACCUCAGCAAUUGACGUUACCCGCAGAAGAAGCACCGGCUAACUCCGUGCCAGCAGCCGCGGUAAUACGGAGGGUGCAAGCGUUAAUCGGAAUUACUGGGCGUAAAGCGCACGCAGGCGGUCUGUCAAGUCGGAUGUGAAAUCCCCGGGCUCAACCUGGGAACUGCAUUCGAAACUGGCAGGCUAGAGUCUUGUAGAGGGGGGUAGAAUUCCAGGUGUAGCGGUGAAAUGCGUAGAGAUCUGGAGGAAUACCGGUGGCGAAGGCGGCCCCCUGGACAAAGACUGACGCUCAGGUGCGAAAGCGUGGGGAGCAAACAGGAUUAGAUACCCCGGUAGUC